RNAcentral lists this signal recognition particle RNA (299 nucleotides) under Pan paniscus (pygmy chimpanzee). RNAcentral describes it as "Metazoan signal recognition particle RNA (ENSPPAG00000005578.1)". It matches the Rfam family "Metazoan signal recognition particle RNA". From Rfam's summary of the family: The signal recognition particle (SRP) is a universally conserved ribonucleoprotein. It is involved in the co-translational targeting of proteins to membranes. The eukaryotic SRP consists of a 300-nucleotide 7S RNA and six proteins: SRPs 72, 68, 54, 19, 14, and 9. The record is from RNAcentral. Lineage: Eukaryota; Metazoa; Chordata; Mammalia; Primates; Hominidae.
GCCAGGCACGGUGGCACGUGCCUGUAGUCCCAGCUACUAGGGGGGUGGGAGGCCUGAGAUGGGAGGAUCGCUUGAGGCCAGGACUUCUGGGCUGUAGUGCACCAUGCCAAUAGAGUGUCCACACUAAGUUCAGCAUCCAUGUGACCUCCCAGCAGGACCACCACAUUGCCUAAGGACGAGUGAAACCACCCGGGCCGGGAAUUGAGCAGGUUCAAACUCCCAUGCUGAUCAGUAAUGGGAUCACGCCUGUGAAUAGCCACUGCACUCCAGCUUGGGCAACAUAGUGAGACCCCGUCUCU